GGCGAACGGGUGAGUAACACGUGGGUAACCUGCCCAUAAGAGGGGGAUAACAUCCGGAAACGGGUGCUAAUACCGCAUAGUUUUCUUGAUCGCAUGAUCGGGAAAGGGAAAGACGGCCUUUGUGCUGUCGCUUAUGGAUGGACCCGCGGCGUAUUAGUUAGUUGGUGAGGUAACGGCUCACCAAGACGAUGAUACGUAGCCGACCUGAGAGGGUGAUCGGCCACAUUGGGACUGAGACACGGCCCAAACUCCUACGGGAGGCAGCAGUAGGGAAUCUUCCGCAAUGGACGAAAGUCUGACGGAGCAACGCCGCGUGAGUGAAAGAAGGUUUUCGGAUCGUAAAACUCUGUUGUCAGAGAAGAACAAGUUGGAGAGUAACUGCUCCAGCCUUGACGGUAUCUGACCAGAAAGCCACGGCUAACUACGUGCCAGCCGCCGC
This 439-nucleotide ribosomal RNA is filed under the name uncultured bacterium. RNAcentral's name for it is "bacterial SSU rRNA". It matches the Rfam family "Bacterial small subunit ribosomal RNA", at positions 97 to 518 of the family's 1533-position model. The record is from RNAcentral.